Molecule: ribosomal RNA, 497 nt
Filed under: uncultured bacterium
Lineage: Bacteria
Description: partial 16S ribosomal RNA
Rfam family: Bacterial small subunit ribosomal RNA
Source: RNAcentral
GACGAACGCUGGCGGCGUGCCUAAUACAUGCAAGUUGAGCGCUGAAGGUUGGUACUUGUACCAACUGGAUGAGCAGCGAACGGGUGAGUAACGCGUGGGGAAUCUGCCUUUGAGCGGGGGACAACAUUUGGAAACGAAUGCUAAUACCGCAUAAAAACUUUAAACACAAGUUUUAAGUUUGAAAGAUGCAAUUGCAUCACUCAAAGAUGAUCCCGCGUUGUAUUAGCUAGUUGGUGAGGUAAAGGCUCACCAAGGCGAUGAUACAUAGCCGACCUGAGAGGGUGAUCGACCACAUUGGGACUGAGACACGGCCCAAACUCCUACGGGAGGCAGCAGUAGGGAAUCUUCGGCAAUAGACGAAAGUCUGACCGAGCAACGCCGCGUGAGUGAAGAAGGUUUUCGGAUCGUAAAACUCUGUUGGUAGAGAAGAACGUUGGUGAGAGUGGAAAGCUCAUCAAGUGACGGUAACUACCCAGAAAGGGACGGCUAACUACGUG